This 73-nucleotide transfer RNA is filed under the name Bipes tridactylus. RNAcentral's name for it is "tRNA-Asn". The record is from RNAcentral. Lineage: Eukaryota; Metazoa; Chordata; Lepidosauria; Squamata; Bipedidae.
CGGAUCGAGGCCCGCUGGUUUGGGCGCUUAGCUGUUAAUUAAGUUUUUGUAGGAUCGAGGCCUGCCGGUUCAG